RNAcentral lists this unclassified non-coding RNA (249 nucleotides) under Hevea brasiliensis (rubber tree). Lineage: Eukaryota; Viridiplantae; Streptophyta; Magnoliopsida; Malpighiales; Euphorbiaceae. The record is from RNAcentral.
CCGUUUCCGUCGUCCAGCGCUGGAACCAGGCCCGAAACAGCAGGAAGCCGCCCACAAGCGCCAGAAGCACGCUCAAUGCCAACAGCGGAAAGAUGACCCCGCCGCCUGAGCCGAGCAGACAGGCCGCGGAGGCCGCCAGGCAAACCAGUCCCGGGAGAUAGACAAUCCCGUGAAUCGUUGUGGAAUACAGAAUUUUCUCGCCCGGCUGCAGGAUAUCGUCGAUAUAGCGGCCCAUUCCCGUCCCGUGUU